AUGAUGAUUCUGAGGCCACCCUAUCCCAGCCAUAUUAUUCACAUAUCGAGUCCCAACAGCAACAGUAUAGGGAUGAGCACGACAGUGCAGGUGAGCAUGAAGGAUGGACAAUCUUCGGGGAGUUUAGAUUGGGAACACAACAAAACACUAACACUCAGGGAUUUGGGAAUAGUCAGACGCCUGCUAAUAUUGAUGAUUCGUUUUUAGAUCGAAUCAAUGAAUUGUUAAACGAAUUCAAUCAAUGGCACCAGCGUGACCAAGAAGAGCAAUAAUGUCGUCUAUCAUUUUAUUUUUAGAUCUUAUGUUACUAAUUUUAUGCUUUAUUGUAGUCCAUGUAUGUUGGUAUACUUAUUCCAUGAUAAUUCUAUGUUUAUCCUUUUGUGUGAUGUAAAUUAAAUGCUGAAUGGCGGUUCAUGCAGGGAAAGAACAUAUCAAUAUUCGCAUAUUCAUUCAAAAACAUGAAAAUUCUUAAUGGAGUACUCUCAUUUCUUAUUGAAUUCCUAAAAAACAAUAUUUAUAAUGAAUUUUAAUAUUUUUUUCGGACUUUUUUUUAAGCUUUAUUCUGACCGA
This 570-nucleotide long non-coding RNA is filed under the name Amborella trichopoda. Its description in RNAcentral is "long non-coding RNA (ATRI_LNC005255)". Lineage: Eukaryota; Viridiplantae; Streptophyta; Magnoliopsida; Amborellales; Amborellaceae. The record is from RNAcentral.